RNAcentral lists this ribosomal RNA (253 nucleotides) under uncultured bacterium. Its description in RNAcentral is "partial 16S ribosomal RNA". It matches the Rfam family "Bacterial small subunit ribosomal RNA", at positions 524 to 776 of the family's 1533-position model. The record is from RNAcentral.
UACGUAGGGUGCAAGCGUUGUCCGGAAUUAUUGGGCGUAAAGAGCUCGUAGGCGGUCUGUCGCGUCUGCUGUGAAAACUCGGGGCUUAACCCCGGGCCUGCAGUGGGUACGGGCAGACUAGAGUGCGGUAGGGGAGACUGGAAUCCCUGGUGUAGCGGUGAAAUGCGCAGAUAUCAGGAGGAACACCGGUGGCGAAGGCGGGUCUCUGGGCCGUAACUGACGCUGAGGAGCGAAAGCAUGGGGAGCGAACAGG